Molecule: long non-coding RNA, 1107 nt
Filed under: Oryctolagus cuniculus (rabbit)
Lineage: Eukaryota; Metazoa; Chordata; Mammalia; Lagomorpha; Leporidae
Description: lncRNA (ENSOCUG00000037013.1)
Source: RNAcentral
GCACUCUAAGUAUAAAUGCUCAAAAAUGAAUUGGUGGUCUUUGCUCUCUCUGCGCUUUGCUAUGGCACCUUGGGCAUCAUCAGGUCCCUGCUACCUAAGGGAUGUCUCUCUCUCAUCAUCUUCCUGAGAAAUAGACUCAAGUAUACACUGACUGGAGAGGAGGUAAAGAAAUAUAUGCAGUGUUUGAUCAGAAUCAGCAACAAGGUUCAAACUAAUGUUGCAUACCUUUCUGGAUUCAUGGAUAUGCAAGAGAUGGAGCAAAGAUCAUCAGCUUUGAGCAGACAGGGAUGAACUCUAAGAGCAUCAGCUUGACAGCCCAUGAUAUUUCAGUGGAUUGUUCAUCUCAGGCCUCAAAGCUUUUUGGCAACCAACAGCAUCACAACUUGUUUUGGACUUCAUCACACUGUUAUUUCCAGAAUGUAAGUAUGUGUUUUUGUAGGGUUUUCUAAUUCUUCAAAGAGGCACAGAGCCCAACUGGCAGAGGAAGGAUGCAAAAUAGGAAUGUGUGUGUUACUUCUUUCACAUGCCCACAGUUCACUUUAAAGUAGGAAAAUAAGGGUUGUGCAAAAUGGAAAAUUUUAGUUUAUGACUGAUUUUGAGGAAUGGUUUUUCUUUUCUUGGACACUUAAUUUUGUUCUGAUGUUAAUUUAUCAAAUUUCUUCUGUGUAUCAGAAAACACCACCAUUCACAAGUUAAAAUUCUUGGUAUUUGGACAUCUGUUAGAUGCUACUAAGAAAGUAGAGAUGAGCUUUCUUUUUAAAGCUUUUAAUGUGGUGUCAUAGAAUAGCAUGCUGUAGAUACAGUCAUCUGCUUUGUUAACUUCAAACUAGGCAUAUGUAAAUACUGAAACUUAAGAUGGCAGGUGAUGUCCUGUAGACACACUUCUGUUCAGAUUGGACAUAACUCACAAAGUUCAUUCUUUCUCUCCAAAAAUUUAUAGGGGACUUAUAGCUUAGUGUUUGUGUGUGUGUGUGUGUGUGUGUUUCUAAUUUGCUGCUGAUAAUUUAUAUGAAUUUAACAUGCUGUGUAAACUGUCUUUGUUACUGCACAGUUUAUGCAGUGCUGCUUUGCCAAAUAAAAGUUCAAAGCAAAAAAAAUAAUUUACCA